RNAcentral lists this ribosomal RNA (729 nucleotides) under uncultured bacterium. RNAcentral's name for it is "bacterial SSU rRNA". It matches the Rfam family "Bacterial small subunit ribosomal RNA", at positions 804 to 1533 of the family's 1533-position model. The record is from RNAcentral.
AAACGAUGAGUGCUAGGUGUUGGGGGGCUUCCACCCCUCGGUGCCGAAGUUAACGCAUUAAGCACUCCGCCUGGGGAGUACGGCCGCAAGGCUUAAACUCAAAGGAAUUGACGGGGACCCGCACAAGCGGUGGAGCAUGCGGUUUAAUUCGAAGCAACGCGAAGAACCUUACCAGCUCUUGACAUCUUCUGACAACUCUAGAGAUAGAGUGUUCCCUUCGGGGACAGAAUGACAGGUGGUGCAUGGUUGUCGUCAGCUCGUGUCGUGAGAUGUUGGGUUAAGUCCCGUAACGAGCGCAACCCUUGUUGCCAGUUGCCAGCAUUUAGUUGGGCACUCUGGCGAGACUGCCGGUGACAAACCGGAGGAAGGUGGGGAUGACGUCAAAUCAGCAUGCCCCUUAUGAGCUGGGCUACACACGUGCUACAAUGGAUGGUACAGCGAGUCGCUAAACCGCGAGGUCAAGCUAAUCUCCUAAAGCCAUUCUCAGUCCGGAUUGCAGGCUGCAACUCGCCUGCAUGAAGCCGGAAUCGCUAGUAAUCGUGGAUCAGAACGCCACGGUGAAUACGUUCCCGGGUCUUGUACACACCGCCCGUCACACCACGAGAGUUCGUAACACCCGAAGUCGGUCGAGCAACUUUAUAGAGCCAGCCGCCGAAGGUGGGAUGGAUGAUUGGGGUGAAGUCGUAACAAGGUAGCCGUAUCGGAAGGUGCGGCUGGAUCACCUCCUUA